RNAcentral lists this transfer RNA (76 nucleotides) under Bacillota bacterium. RNAcentral describes it as "Firmicutes bacterium tRNA-Ala". It matches the Rfam family "tRNA". Rfam says of the family: Transfer RNA (tRNA) molecules are approximately 80 nucleotides in length. Their secondary structure includes four short double-helical elements and three loops (D, anti-codon, and T loops). Further hydrogen bonds mediate the characteristic L-shaped molecular structure. tRNAs have two regions of fundamental functional importance: the anti-codon, which is responsible for specific mRNA codon recognition, and the 3' end, to which the tRNAs corresponding amino acid is attached (by aminoacyl-tRNA synthetases). tRNAs cope with the degeneracy of the genetic code in two manners: having more than one tRNA (with a specific anti-codon) for a particular amino acid; and 'wobble' base-pairing, i.e. permitting non-standard base-pairing at the 3rd anti-codon position. RNAcentral also lists the same sequence under 5 other names. The record is from RNAcentral. Lineage: Bacteria; Bacillati; Bacillota.
GGGGCUGUAGCUCAGUUGGGAGAGCGCCUCCCUUGCACGGAGGAAGUCAGGAGUUCGAGUCUCCUCAGCUCCACCA